UACGAAGGUGGCAAGCGUUACUCGGAAUUACUAGGCGUAAAGGGCAGGUAGGUGGUUUGGUUAGUCUGUUGUGAAAGCUCCUUGCUUAACGGGGAGAGGUCAACAGAUACUGCCAGACUUGAGUAUAGGAGAGGGUACUGGAAUUCCCGGUGUAGCGGUGAAAUGCGUAGAGAUUGGGAAGAACACCGGUGGCGAAAGCGCUCUACUGGGCCUGCACCGACACUGAGGGACGAAAGCUAGGGGAGCGAAAGGG
This 253-nucleotide ribosomal RNA is filed under the name uncultured bacterium. Its description in RNAcentral is "partial 16S ribosomal RNA". It matches the Rfam family "Bacterial small subunit ribosomal RNA", at positions 524 to 776 of the family's 1533-position model. The record is from RNAcentral.